Molecule: ribosomal RNA, 779 nt
Filed under: uncultured bacterium
Lineage: Bacteria
Description: bacterial SSU rRNA
Rfam family: Bacterial small subunit ribosomal RNA
Source: RNAcentral
CCCCGAGCUUAACUUGGGAACUGCGUUUUGAACUGGUAAGCUAGAGUAUGUCAGAGGGGGGUAGAAUUCCACGUGUAGCAGUGAAAUGCGUAGAGAUGUGGAGGAAUACCGAUGGCGAAGGCAGCCCCCUGGGAUAAUACUGACGUUCAUGCUCGAAAGCGUGGGUAGCAAACAGGAUUAGAUACCCUGGUAGUCCACGCCCUAAACGAUGUCAAUUAGCUGUUGGGCAACAUGAUUGCUUAGUAGCGUAGCUAACGCGUGAAAUUGACCGCCUGGGGAGUACGGUCGCAAGAUUAAAACUCAAAGGAAUUGACGGGGACCCGCACAAGCGGUGGAUGAUGUGGAUUAAUUCGAUGCAACGCGAAGAACCUUACCUGGUCUUGACAUGUACGGAAUCUUCCAGAGACGGAAGAGUGCCUUCGGGAGCCGUAACACAGGUGCUGCAUGGCUGUCGUCAGCUCGUGUCGUGAGAUGUUGGGUUNNNNNNNNCAACGAGCGCAACCCUUGUCAUUAGUUGCCACCAUUCAGUUGGGCACUCUAAUGAGACUGCCGGUGACAAACCGGAGGAAGGUGGGGAUGACGUCAAGUCCUCAUGGCCCUUAUGACCAGGGCUUCACACGUCAUACAAUGGUCGGUACAGAGGGUAGCCAAGCCGCGAGGUGGAGCCAAUCUCAGAAAACCGAUCGUAGUCCGGAUUGCACUCUGCAACUCGAGUGCAUGAAGUCGGAAUCGCUAGUAAUCGCAGGUCAGCAUACUGCGGUGAAUACGUUCCCGGGUCU